CCUACGGGAGGCAGCAGUGGGGAAUAUUGCACAAUGGGGGAAACCCUGAUGCAGCAACGCCGCGUGAGUGAAGAAGGUUUUCGGAUUGUAAAGCUCUGUUAGCAGGGAAGAGGAAGGACGGUACCUGCAGAGGAAGCCACGGCUAACUACGUGCCAGCAGCCGCGGUAAUACGUAGGUGGCAAGCGUUGUUCGGAAUAACUGGGCGUAAAGGGAGCGUAGACGGCCAGACAAGUCUGAAGUGAAAAUCCAGCGCUUAACGUUGGAAGUGCUUUGGAAACUGCCGGGCUGGAGUGCAGGAGGGGCA
This 305-nucleotide ribosomal RNA is filed under the name uncultured bacterium. RNAcentral's name for it is "bacterial SSU rRNA". It matches the Rfam family "Bacterial small subunit ribosomal RNA", at positions 338 to 659 of the family's 1533-position model. The record is from RNAcentral.